GAACUUAUCUCAACCAUGUCGUCUUUUCGAUGUGGCUUGGAUGUGGGGGUAAUUUUUUGCAGGCUUUAAAUUUUGAAGCCAGCUCCCCUGAAAUGCAUUAGUGGUAUCUGAGCUGCUAUUGGUGUGAUAAUUUAUCUAUGCCUUUGGUAACAGCGAGUGCUGCUUAUAACAACAACAACAAUUGACAA
Molecule: unclassified non-coding RNA, 188 nt
Filed under: Russula delica
Lineage: Eukaryota; Fungi; Basidiomycota; Agaricomycetes; Russulales; Russulaceae
Description: partial internal transcribed spacer 2
Source: RNAcentral